GACGAACGUCUCGGCGGGCGGUGCUUAACACAUGCAAGUCGAACGGAGUGCCCGUUGAAAGAGGACGUUCGGCCAAUGGAUGGGAACACUUAGUGGCGGACUGGUGAGUAACGCGUGAGGAACCUGCCUUUCAGAGGGGGACAACAGUUGGAAACGACUGCUAAUACUGCAUGAUGCAUGAUCAGGGCAUCCUGGACAUGCCAAAGAUUUAUCGCUGAAAGAUGGCCUCGCGUCUGAUUAGCUAGUUGGUGAGGUAACGGCCCACCAAGGCGACGAUCAGUAGCCGGACUGAGAGGUUGACCGGCCACAUUGGAACUGAGACACGGUCCAA
This 331-nucleotide ribosomal RNA is filed under the name uncultured bacterium. RNAcentral describes it as "bacterial SSU rRNA". It matches the Rfam family "Bacterial small subunit ribosomal RNA", at positions 35 to 334 of the family's 1533-position model. The record is from RNAcentral.